RNAcentral lists this ribosomal RNA (485 nucleotides) under uncultured bacterium. Its description in RNAcentral is "bacterial SSU rRNA". It matches the Rfam family "Bacterial small subunit ribosomal RNA", at positions 28 to 511 of the family's 1533-position model. The record is from RNAcentral.
GAUGAACGCUAGCGGGAGGCCUAAUACAUGCAAGUCGAGCGAGAAGGUUUCUUCGGAGACUGGAAAGCGGCGCACGGGUGAGUAACGCGUACGCAACUUACCCCUGAGAGUGGAAUAGCCCCGGGAAACUGGGAUUAAUACUCCAUAGUCUUUAAUGAUCACAUGAGAAAUAAAGUAAAGCUUCGGCGGUAUAAGAUGAGUGUGCGUCCCAUUAGAUUGUUGGUGAGGUAACGGCUCACCAAGUCGACGAUGGGUAGCUGGCGUGAGAGCGCGACCAGCCACACUGGCACUGAGACACGGGCCAGACUCCUACGGGAGGCAGCAGUAGGGAAUAUUGGUCAAUGGACGAAAGUCUGAACCAGCCAUGCCGCGUGGAGGAUGACUGCCCUCUGGGUUGUAAACUCCUUUUAUAUGGGAAGAAACCUCUGGAUUCACUCCAGAGCUGACGGUAUCAUAUGAAUAAGCACCGGCUAACUCCGUGCCAG